AGCAACUUGGCGCAGGGGAAGCGCGCCGGGCUCAUACUGCAAUGGGAUAACCCCCGUAUUCCUGGCUACCCGGAGGUCCUUGGAUCGAAACCAAGAGUUGCUA
Molecule: transfer RNA, 103 nt
Filed under: Magnaporthiopsis poae ATCC 64411
Lineage: Eukaryota; Fungi; Ascomycota; Sordariomycetes; Magnaporthales; Magnaporthaceae
Description: Magnaporthe poae ATCC 64411 tRNA-Met for anticodon CAU
Rfam family: tRNA
About the family: Transfer RNA (tRNA) molecules are approximately 80 nucleotides in length. Their secondary structure includes four short double-helical elements and three loops (D, anti-codon, and T loops).
Source: RNAcentral